UUUUCAUCUUUUUAUCCUUUUUCCUUCUGAAGGAUUUGUUGUGUCCGCUACCUCAUCCCUUGAGACUAUGGAAAUGCAUUGUGAUGGUAGUUAAAGUGCCUUGUGAAAGAAACCUGAUGUUAUUUAGAAAUGAAGAUAAUUAAUUGGGCUGUAUUUGCUUUUUGUUGUAAUAAUAAUAUUGCAAAUUUGCCUGGUAUUAAGUAUAGAAGCCAUGUCACUGAACAUUGCGUAAAACACAUUGCAGGCUGAUUCAGAUAAAGAUGGG
This 265-nucleotide unclassified non-coding RNA is filed under the name Hevea brasiliensis (rubber tree). The record is from RNAcentral. Lineage: Eukaryota; Viridiplantae; Streptophyta; Magnoliopsida; Malpighiales; Euphorbiaceae.